Molecule: ribosomal RNA, 429 nt
Filed under: Chloroflexota bacterium
Lineage: Bacteria; Bacillati; Chloroflexota
Description: Chloroflexi bacterium partial 16S ribosomal RNA
Rfam family: Bacterial small subunit ribosomal RNA
Source: RNAcentral
UGGGGAAUAUUGCACAAUGGGCGCAAGCCUGAUGCAGCCAUGCCGCGUGUAUGAAGAAGGCCUUCGGGUUGUAAAGUACUUUCAGUCGGGAGGAAGGUGUCAAGGUUAAUAACCUUGGCAAUUGACGUUACCGACAGAAGAAGCACCGGCUAACUCCGUGCCAGCAGCCGCGGUAAUACGGAGGGUGCAAGCGUUAAUCGGAAUUACUGGGCGUAAAGCGCACGCAGGCGGUUGAUUGAGUCAGAUGUGAAAUCCCCGGGCUUAACCCGGGAAUUGCAUCUGAUACUGGUCAGCUAGAGUCUUGUAGAGGGGGGUAGAAUUCCAUGUGUAGCGGUGAAUUGCGUAGAGAUGUGGAGGAAUACCGGUGGCGAAGGCGGCCCCCUGGAUAAAGACUGACGCUCAGGUGCGAAAGCGUGGGGAGCAAACAGG